CACUGUCUCUAUUAGAAGUAAAUUUGAAUGU
Molecule: non-coding RNA, 31 nt
Filed under: Mus musculus (house mouse)
Lineage: Eukaryota; Metazoa; Chordata; Mammalia; Rodentia; Muridae
Source: RNAcentral